GAUCCUGGCUCAGGAUGAACGCUGGCGGCGUGCUUAACACAUGCAAGUCGAGCGAUGAAGUUUCCUUCGGGAAAUGGAUUAGCGGCGGACGGGUGAGUAACACGUGGGUAACCUGCCUCAUAGAGUGGAAUAGCCUUUCGAAAGGAAGAUUAAUACCGCAUAAUGUUGAAAGAUGGCAUCAUCAUUCAACCAAAGGAGCAAUCCGCUAUGAGAUGGACCCGCGGCGCAUUAG
This 232-nucleotide ribosomal RNA is filed under the name uncultured bacterium. RNAcentral's name for it is "partial 16S ribosomal RNA". It matches the Rfam family "Bacterial small subunit ribosomal RNA", at positions 15 to 244 of the family's 1533-position model. The record is from RNAcentral.